AACGAACGCUGGCGGCAUGCCUAACACAUGCAAGUCGAACGAGACCUUCGGGUCUAGUGGCGCACGGGUGCGUAACGCGUGGGAACCUGCCCUUAGGUUCGGAAUAACUCCCCGAAAGGGGUGCUAAUACCGGAUAAUGUCUUCGGACCAAAGAUUUAUCGCCUUUGGAUGGGCCCGCGUUGGAUUAGCUAGUUGGUAGGGUAAAAGCCUACCAAGGCGACGAUCCAUAGCUGGUCGGAGAGGAUGAUCAGCCACACUGGGACUGAGACACGGCCCAGACUCCUAGGGAAGGGAGCAGUGGGGAAUAUUAGACAAGGGGCGAAAGCCUAGUGCAGCAAUGCCGCGGGAGUGAUGAAGGCCUUAGGGUUGUAAAGCUCUUUUACCCGGGAUGAUAAUGACAGUACCGGGAGAAUAAGCUCCGGCUAACUCCGUG
RNAcentral lists this ribosomal RNA (433 nucleotides) under uncultured bacterium. Its description in RNAcentral is "partial 16S ribosomal RNA". It matches the Rfam family "Bacterial small subunit ribosomal RNA", at positions 29 to 507 of the family's 1533-position model. The record is from RNAcentral.